CCCGCAUGUUGAACACGUGUUCGAUAGGCCGGAGGUGGAAGUCCCGCGAGGGAUGGAGCCGACCGGUACUAACGGGCGAACGCGGCACACUC
RNAcentral lists this ribosomal RNA (92 nucleotides) under Bifidobacterium catenulatum. Its description in RNAcentral is "partial 23S ribosomal RNA". It matches the Rfam family "Bacterial large subunit ribosomal RNA", at positions 2833 to 2925 of the family's 2925-position model. Lineage: Bacteria; Bacillati; Actinomycetota; Actinomycetes; Bifidobacteriales; Bifidobacteriaceae. The record is from RNAcentral.